GGAGUCUCACUGGGUGUUGGUAUGAAUCAUCAUGUUGCAGAUGGAGCAUCUGGCCUCCACUUUAUAAACACAUGGUCCGAUAUGGCUCGUGGCCUUGACCUCAAAAUUCCGCCUUUCAUUGACCGCACCCUACUCCGAGCCCGUGACCCUCCCCAACCUGUCUUCCACCACAUUGAAUACCAGCCUCCUCCUUCCAUGAAAUUCACUCCUGAAACCACACUUCCCGAAACAGCCGUAUCCAUUUUCAAAUUAACAAGGGAGCAGCUCAACUCCCUUAAAGCCAAGUCCAAGGAAGACGGAAACACCAUUGCUUAUAGCACCUAUGAAAUUCUGGCAGGACAUGUAUGGCGGUGCACGUGCAAAGCCUUUGGGCUUCCGGAUGACCAAGAAAGCAAGCUGUACAUUGACACCGACGGACGAGCCAGACUCCGGCCCUCCCUUCCGCCUGGUUACUUCGGCAAUGUGAUAUUGGAGGCAACUCCAAUUGCACUAGCAGGUGAUCUCCGAUCAAAGCCCGUAUGGUAUGGUGCCAGUAGGAUUCAUGAUGCGAUACUGCGAAUGGACAAUGAUUAUCUGAGGUCAGUUAUUGAUUACUUGGAAUUGCAUCCUGAUAUUGAGGCCCUUGGGGUGCAUACUCUUAGGUGCCCAAAUCUUUGUAUCACCAGCUGGGCAAGGCUGCCAAUCCACGACGUCGAUUUUGGUUGGGGCAGGCCAAUUUUUAUGGGACCUGGUGCAAUUAGUGACGAGGGGCAUAGUUUUGUGUUACCAAGUCCUUCUAAUGAUGGAAGCUUAUCGUUGGUGACUUCUUUGCAAGCAGAACACAUGAAACUCUUUAGCAAGUUCUUUUAUGACAUUUGAAGAGAAAUAAACAUCCCAACAAACUCGUGCGGAGGAGUCUUUUUAUUCUGUUGGUAAUUUUGUUUCUUUCCAAAGUUUUCUCCCCAUCAAUUAUGCCUGAUAUANNNNNNNNNNNNNNNNNNNNNNNNNNNNNNNNNNNNNNNNNNNNNNNNNNNNNNNNNNNNNNNNNNNNNNNNNNNNNNNNNNNNNNNNNNNNNNNNNNNNNNNNNNNNNNNNNNNNNNNNNNNNNNNNNNNNNNNNNNNNNNNNNNNNNNNNNNNNNNNNNNNNNNNNNNNNNNNNNNNNNNNNNNNNNNNNNNNNNNNNNNNNNNNNNNNNNNNNNNNNNNNNNNNNNNNNNNNNNNNNNNNNNNNNNNNNNNNNNNNNNNNNNNNNNNNNNNNNNNNNNNNNNNNNNNNNNNNNNNNNNNNNNNNNNNNNNNNNNNNNNNNNNNNNNNNNNNNNNNNNNNNNNNNNNNNNNNNNNNNNNNNNNNNNNNNNNNNNNNNNNNNNNNNNNAAACCCCCAUAUGUAUUAUAUAGACUUAUUAAUAAUAAUAAAUCGUAAUAUAAUAAUAAUGCAAGAAUAUAGAUUUUGGGGGAUGGUGAAGUUUUAAUAUAAAGAUAUAUUCUUGGUUGAAAUUAACAGCUAGGCCUGUGGUGCUCGGGUGGUCAUAAGACGAGUGUUUGGAGUUUGAGGUUGCAAGUUCGAAUCUGUUUAGUAGCGAAUUGCUUGAAUAAAAUCAUUUUUUUCAAUUUUUUAAUACUAGCCGUGACAAGCUGUACCGACCGGUUUUUUUUUUCAAUUAUUUAAUACCAGCCGUAUCAGCCUGUACCGGCAGGAUAUUUUAUUAUUUUAAUGUCAGCCGUAUGAGCCUGUACCGGCCGGGAGAAAUAAAAAAUAAUUUUAAAAAAAAUGUACCAGCCGUAUCAGCCUGUACCGGCCGGAUUAUUUUAUUAUUUUAAUGCCAGCCGUAUGAGCCUGUACCGGCCGGGAGAAAUAAAAAAAAAUUAAAAAAAAAUGUACCAGCCGUAUCAGCCUAUACCGGCCGGAUUAUUUUAAUAAUAAAUAUUCACUUUUUAUAACUAUACUGACAAGUUAAUGUUCACUUAAUAAAAUAGAAGCCGGUAUAGGUAGAUAAUUAGGCACAACAACCUGUGCCGGCUUAUCAAAUAGAAAAGUUAAUCGCAGCCAUCUAUUCAAUUUAUCAACGGUGCAAAAAGGAGGUAUUGCACAGUACUCAUAGCAACCGGCUGCUAUGGAAGGGAUUCCAUAUAUAUAUAUAUAUAUAUAUAUAUAUAUAGGUAGCUAACAUUAAAAAGUAUGCGUGUGCCCCAAAAGACAUGAUGAAUGAUGAAAAUAGAAUAGAAUCGAUAGACAUACUUUUUGAGCUUCAAUGAAAGCUAGCAAAAUUGUAGUAACAAGUGUCAGCUAAAAAAAUAGUGCGUACCAUUUUUUGAUCUUUGACGUUCAAGGCCCAGCAUUCCAUUUUCUUUCCUCUUUCCGGUGUAUACAGCUGGCCCGUGGUGUUCCGGUGGUCAUAUGAUUAAGAUUUCAAAUUUGAGGUUGUGAGUUCAAACCAGCAAAAACUACUAAAGUUCAGUACUUUGCAUUUAACCCGUUUUUUGUGUGUAGAUAAAUUGAUUAAUUUUACAUAUUUAGUAAAUAUUAUAUAUAAUAUAUAAUAAGAGGCAGGUAAGUGUUUUAUUGGAAGGUGGAUAAAGAUUGUCCCACGCAUUACCAAUUUGUACGAUGCUUCCUUUGUGCAAAUUUGAAUGGUAUUAGCUAUGCAGACUAUUCUGUAGAUCACUUUGACAAUGGAGUUGCAGUCCCUUUCACGGACAAUCUUAUUUGAGUAAUAAAGAAUUUUCACUUAACAUGAGCAGGUGGACAAAGAGCAAGUAGAUCGAGUCCACCGGCACAAGGAAGCGGCAAAACUCUAAACAUUUAUGUUUAGACAUUUAUGUUAUAUGUUAGGUGGUGGGAGCUGGGCUGAUUGAAAUGAUCUUACGCUAAACAUUUAUGUUUGCCAAUGUAUGUAUGUAUGUAUGUAGUUUGGACUUUGAAAGUGCACGUUUUCUAUGAAUUCAUGCAGUUUUGCAGUUGUACAAAUAGGUUUAGUUGUUUUUUGUGUAGAUAAAUUGAUUAAUUUUAUAUAUUUACUAAAUAUUACUCCCUCCGUCCCAUGAUAAAAGUCAUUUUUACUAUUUUGGGUAGUCCCAAGUUAAAUGUCCAUUUUCCUUUAAUAAUCAAACUUUUACACAUAUUUUUCUAUUAUACCGAUAGCAUUAAAUAUCUCAUACUUUUCUUAUUUGAACUCUCUCUCCAUAUUUAAUGAUAUUAUUAUAGGCAAUUUUGUCAUUUUAUUCUUCUUAAUAUGCGUGAAAAGUCUACCAGGACUUUUAUCCUGGGACGGAGGGAGUAUAUAUAAUACUACCUCCGUCCCACAAUAAGUGAUUUUUUAGGCUUAAUAUUUUUUCCCAAAAUAAGUGAUAUGUUAGAAAUCCAAUACAAUUUUUACAAUAUUUUCUCAUAUAUGCCCUUAUGCAUUCAAUGGUAUUUAUUGCAUCUUGCAAUCAUUACAAUUAAAUGACAUUCAUUAACUCUUCAACUUCAAAGAAAAUAUAUUAAGGAUAUUUUUGUUAUUUUAGCUUGUGUAUUGGUACGUGUGAUUUAAGCUAAAAAAAUCACUUAUUAUGGGACCGAGAUAAGAGGCAGGUAAGUGUUUAAUUUGUUGAAAGGUGGAUAAAGAUUGUCCCACGCAUUACCAAAUAUAUACUACUAGUUACCUCCCUCUCUCUUCUAGCCGACCUUUCUUUCAUCUUCAAACUCCAACAUCACAAUGAAGAUCAACGUAAGAGAGUCGACGAUGGUGGCGCCGCCGGCACAGGAGACGCCGCAGCGGAGUCUGUGGAUUGCUAACUUGGACCUUGUGGCACCGGAUACCCAUGUCCCGACCGUAUACUUUUACUGGCCGAACGGGUCGUCCAAUUUCUUUGAGGCGAAAAUACUUAAGGAGGCGCUAAGCCGUACCUUGGUUCCGUUUUACCCAAUGGCUGGGCGGUUAAAGAGGGGCGAAGACAGGCGCAUUGAGAUCAACUGUAACGGAGAAGGUGUUCUCUUCGUGGAGGCAGACUCGGAUGGAGUGGUUGAUGAGUUCGGCGACUUCACCCCGACGUUGGAGCUCCGGAAACUCAUUCCGAUGGUUGAUUAUUCUCUUGGAAUCCAUGCCUAUCCUCUUUUAGUCUUGCAGGUGCGUGUGUUUUCACUACGCCAUAUAUAUAAAAAUACUACCAUAUUUUCUAUAUGCUUGGUUAUUUAUUCUUGUGUAAUUUUGUUGUUCAAGAAUUUGAGAAUAUCCGGUGAGGUUAGUGUAGUUUUAGGGUAAAAAAAUGCGAGUCACACCACAAGUUCCGAUCAGUCCCAAAAUAUUUGUACUACAUAAAAAUUUAUUUAAGAAAAAUUACAGAAGAAUUUGAAAAAAAUAUUAGUUUUUUAAUGCAUGAAUUUUGGACAAUGAUUAGGAAAUUAUCAAGGUACCGAGCUAUCCAUAUGGGACUGGUUGGAACUGGUGAAGAGCUGAACAUAAGGGACACCGGUUAUGUCCGGUAGUACCUGCUAUUUGAAUUCAAAUUACUUGGUAGAUAUAAUGUUUAGCUCUUGCUUUCUUUACUUUCAUUCAUUACCUUAUAUUGCUACAUAGAGUUUUAUCUUUUAUCUUUUUUCCUUUUUUUUCAAGAACAAAGUUGUAAUUUUUUUUGUUGCAAGUAAUUAAUUAACUUCCCUCCAAUUGAGCAGAUUACAUACUUCAAAUGUGGUGGAGUCUCACUGGGUGUUGGUAUGAAACAUCAUGUUGCAGAUGGAGCAUCUGGCCUCCACUUUAUAAACACAUGGUCCGAUAUGGCUCGUGGCCUUGACCUCAAAAUUCCGCCUUUCAUUGACCGCACCCUACUCCGAACCCGUGACCCUCCCUAACCUGUCUUCCACCACAUUGAAUACCAGCCUCCUCCUUCCAUGAAAUCCACUCCUGAAACCACACUUCCCGAAACAGCCGUAUCCAAUUUCAAAUUAACAAGGGAGCAGCUCAACUCCCUUAAAGCCAAGUCCAAGGAAGACGGAAACACCAUUGCUUAUAGCACCUAUGAAAUUCUGGCAGGACAUGUAUGGCGGUGCACGUGCAAAGCCUGUGGGCUUCCGGAUGACCAAGAAAGCAAGCUGUACAUUGACACCGACGGACGAGCCAGACUCCGGCCCUCCCUUCCGCCUGGUUACUUCGGCAAUGUGAUAUUGGAGGCAACUCCAAUUGCACUAGCAGGUGAUCUCCGAUCAAAGCCCGUAUGGUAUGGUGCCAGUAGGAUUCAUGAUGCGAUACUGCGAAUGGACAAUGAUUAUCUGAGGUCAGUUAUUGAUUACUUGGAAUUGCAUCCUGAUAUUGAGGCCCUUGGGGUGCAUACUCUUAGGUGCCCAAUUCUUUGUAUCACCAGCUGGGCAAGGCUGCCACUCCACGACGUCGAUUUUGGUUGGGGCAUGCCAAUUUUUAUGGGACCUGGUGCAAUUAGUGACGAGGGGCAUAGUUUUGUGUUACCAAGUCCUUCUAAUGAUGGGAGCUUAUCGUUUGUGACUUCUUUGCAAGCAGAACACAUGAAACUCUUUAGCAAGUUCUUUUAUGACAUUUGAAGAGAAAUAAACAUCCCAACAAACUCGUGUGGAGGAGUCUUUUUAUUCUGUUGGCAAUUGUUGCUUAAUUUCUUAAUAGCACUUUAACACGCAAACAUACGCGUUCAAUUGUAAUAUUCAGUAAGGCAAGGAUAUCGUUCCCACGAGGAAAUAAACUAAUAUUUUUUAAUUACUAAUUUCAAUGCAGUUAAUCAUAUUUUAAACUCCAAAAUAUUGGUUGUGAUUUGAAAAUUAAACUUAACAAACUAAUAAUUAAAAUCAAAAUUUCACAAGAACAACUGCAGAUUUAACAUGUUAAGAUUACAACUUCCCUUGGUAUUUCAUUUAAACUAAUUUACUUCCCAUUUAAAUCAAUAAAUUAAUAUGAAUAAUUAUUAUAGUGCUCACGCACUUCUUCCAAAGACACGUGAACAAAUCCUCCAAAAUCCAAUCCUUAAGACACAAAAUUACAAGAACACCCUAUUUAAUUAAUUCACUAUAUUCCUAUGUGAAUCAAGUUAAUUAGAGUUUUACACACAAAUUCUUUCAAUGGAUACAAAAGACACAUAAGUAUAUUCCUAUCCUACAUGCUAAUCAUAUUAACCCUAAUCAGAUUAUAUGAACAGAUGUUAUUUUAUCCAGAUCUAAAUCUAUAUUCCAUCUUCCAAUUUUAUAUAGAUUAUCACAGUAAUUGUUGGCCAAACGUACAAUUAAUAAAUAAGCAUAAGAUAUAAUAAACAAUUCAAUAAAAACCAACUUUCAUUCAAUAGGAAGAUUUAAUUUAAACUACAUACCAAGUUCCAUUGCAAUCUUAAUUAAAAUUUAGUUCAUGAUAAUAAUAAAAAAAAAUAUCAUCCAGAUUAAUAAUCCAAACAUCCCAGAUAAUUACAAAAGAUAAAACUAGAGAAGAGAAGAAGAAACUCUGAAUUUGCUCCAAUACUCUCUCUUUGAUCUUCAACCCUUGCAAUUAUAUUCUCCUUCGUGUUUUCCUUCGUUGUUCUCUCCGCAAUUCUCUUGAUAAUUUUCUUGAUACGUCUUUUUUAAAGUCUUCUCUUAUUUGUAUUCUUCAAAAACCUCAUUCAGAUUCCUUUUUGGCUUCAAAAACCAACUCAACAGUAGCAAAAUCCCUCUUUAGCCGUACAUGAGCGCCUAGGCACUCAACCCAGGUCAUUUUCAAGCGCCUAGGCUCUUAACCAGGACCACAUAUUUAUAAAAAUGCCACUCAGAUCUAAUUUUAAUGAUUUUUUGAUCUUUUUCUUCUCCCAAAUGACCAAUUUGUCCCUCCAGCUCCAACCUACAAGAAAUAAACACAAAAACACAUAAAAAGAUACUAAAAACACUGAAAGAUAGCAAUAAUUAAGCUUAAUAAUAUCAUAUUCAUAGGUAUAAAAUCCACUCAUCAGUAAUUUUGUUUCUUUCAAAAGUUUUCUCCCCGUCAAUUAUGCCUGAUAUAUGUGCUUAUAUCCGAACAGAAGUAGCUAAAAGCUACGUGCAUGUAAGGAACUUGGGAUACAUUGUAUGUUGGAAAAAAUGCACCUAAAUAAUCUCAAUCUGGCCUAGAGAUUAUGUAAUAUUCUAAAUUAUGUUAUGUGAUUAUGUACGUGUUAUGUGAUCCUUUUCCAAGACUGUAAUGAAAGGGACUUGUAGUAUUAGUUUUAGAAUUUUAUUUGUUCUCAAGUCAUUCACACCAAUCAUAUUAAAUAGUUAAAAUUUAUAAAUUUUGUAAAUAAUAUUUUUUGUGUAUAAAAGAGUUUUCUAUUUUUAAAUUAAACAGUGACACUCAGGGUUUUCAAAUGAAAGUUGUAGGUCGAUCGAUCUUAUUUAAUAAAACAGUAACAGAGUCGCUUACACCUUGCUAAUGACACAAGUAAUUAAAGACAUUAGCUUCAAAGGCUCAAGAUAAUAAAACGUAAGAGGAAUGUGAGUAAGCAAGUAUGCUAUUAUUAACACCCCAACUUAAAAUUGACUCCGACUAAGGAUGGAUACAACUUUAAGCACCCUUUNNNNNNNNNNNNNNNNNNNNNNNNNNNNNNNNNNNNNNNNNNNNNNNNNNNNNNNNNNNNNNNNNNNNNNNNNNNNNNNNNNNNNNNNNNNNNNNNNNNNAAAGCUACGUGCAUGUAAGGAACAUGGGAUACAUUGUAUGUUGGGAAAAGUGCACCUAAAUAAUCUCAAUCUGGCCUACAGAUUAUGUAAUAUUCUGAAUUCUGUUAUGUGAUUAUGUACGUGUUAUGUGAUCCUUUUCCAAGACUGUAAUGAAAGGGAACUUGUAGUAGUAGUUUUAGAAUUUUAUUCGCCUAGAUUUGUUUGUAAAUUUGUUAUCAAGGCAUUCACACCAAUCAUAUUAAAUAGUUAAAAUUUAUAAAUUUUGUAAAUAAUAUUUUUUGUGUAUAAAAGAGUUUUCUAUUUUUAAAUUAAACAGUGGCACUCGGGGUUUUCAAAUGAAAGUUGUAGGUUGAUCGAUCUUAUAUAAGUGAGUAGCAGAGUCGCUUACACCUUGCUAAUGACAGAAGUAAUUAAAGACAUUAAGUUCUAGAUAAUAAAACGCUAUAUGACAGAAGUAAUUAAAGACAUUAGGUUCUAGAUAAUAAAACGUAAGAGGAAUAUAUAUAAUUUAUUUAUAUAAAUAUCGUAAAGUAGAUCAGUUUUAGAUACCGUAAUUUGGAGAUAUUCCUUAAACAAGAAUAUCAUUCAAAUUGGGUGCUUAAAGUUCUAAGUGACCUAUUGAAAAUAUUUAUAUAAACAUUAUAUUAAUUGUGAAACUCUAAAUUUGGUCAAUUUUAAANNNNNNNNNNNNNNNNNNNNNNNNNNNNNNNNNNNNNNNNNNNNNNNNNNNNNNNNNNNNNNNNNNNNNNNNNNNNNNNNNNNNNNNNNNNNNNNNNNNNAUUUGUUCUCAAGUCAUUCACAACAAUCAUAUUAAAUAGUUAAAAUUUAUAAAUUUUGUAAAUAAUAUUUUUUGUGUAUAAAAGAGUUUUCUAUUUUUAAAUUAAACAGUGACACUCAGGGUUUUCAAAUGAAAGUUGUAGGUCGAUCGAUCUUAUUUAAUAAAACAGUAGCAGAGUCGCUUACACCUUGCUAAUGACACAAGUAAUUAAAGACAUUAGCUUCAAAGGCUCAAGAUAAUAAAACGUAAGAGGAAUGUGAGUAAGCAAGUAUGCUAUUAUUAACACCCCAACUUAAAAUUGACUCCGACUAAGGAUGGAUACAACUUUAAGCACCCUUUUGAAUGAUAUUCUUAUUUAAGGCAUCUAAACUGACCUUAUUAUAUAUUGAUAUGAAUAGAUGAAAUAUAUAUAUAUAUAUAUAUAUAUAUAUAUAUAUAUAUAAACUUUCACAACAAUUUAUAUUUGUAUAUCUAUAAAUAUAAACAAAUCAAUUCAAUAACUUAUCUCAUAUAUUUUGAUCAAUUUUCUCUUUUUCAGAAGAUUUGAAACUUUGAAUGGAAGAGAGAAAAACAUUUUUUUCAGAGAAAGUAUGUAGGCAAAGAGAGUAAGCUUUCUUAUUCUUGUAAAUUGUUAAGUCUUGAACUGAAUUUUUUUCUUAUUUAUAGGAGAUUUUGAGUCGGGGGUAAACUUGUCUAACAAAAUUUUUCAAUACAUGCAUUCAAUAAAUUAAUGCACCCAUUUCAUCUUGCAAGCAAUGGUCAAAAGGCUUUAAGCCUUUGAAGGCUUAUAUCUUGAAUUAAUCUAAUGGGUCCCACAAAUACAACAUCAUGUGCAUUUAAGCUUUCAAUUAAUUCCAACACAUGAAGCAAAUAAGAAAGUUUUGUUAUAAAAUUAUAAUAUAUAUAUAUAUAUAUAUAUAUAUGGAUGUCUAGAUUCAUUUCUCUUAUAUUUAAUUGUAAUGAUCCUUGAUAUUUUUGGAACUCCCAUGUCCCUUAAGUUUUAAAACUCAUGACUUUUGAGUUUUGAAACCUCCAAGUAUUGAUAUUCAUAUCUCUAUAUAUAAUAGCAUUGUAAAAGUGAAUGAUAUAAAAAUAUAGUGAGAAUGCUCUCUUUCCUCUAAUCAUUUAUAAUACGUUAUCAGCACGAAUUGCUCCUCACCUUCGUCUUGAAGAUAAUCAUAUUUCAUUUGAAGGAGAAGAAAAUCUGGAUUUGCGGCAUGCUAUAAAUGAGCCUAAUAUCAGUGGUGGAGAUAUAUACUUAGCAGAUAGUGCAACGACGCAUACUAUUCUCAGACAUAAGCAAUAUUUUUUAAAUCUAAAAAUGAUGAAAGCUAAUGUGAAUACAAUAUCAGGUUCAGCAGACUUAAUUGAAGGCUCUGGAAGAGCCAAUAUAAUUCUUCUUAUGGAACAAAAUUUAUUAUUGAUAAUGUUUUGUUUUCCACUAAAUUAAUGAGGAAUCUGCUAAGUUUUGAAGAUGUACGAUUUAAUGGAUACCAUAUUGAGACAACCAAUGACAAUGGUAUAGAAUAUCUUUAUAUCAUAUCAAAUGUCUCUAUUGGAAAACAAAUAUUGGAAAAAUUACUCGUUUUAUCUUCAGGUUUGUACUAUACAAGUAUUAGUACAAUUGAAGUCAAUGCAAUACUGAACCAGAAGUUUAAUGAACCAAAUAAUUUUAUUAUUUGGCAUGACCGGUUGGGUCAUCCUGGAUCAAUAAUGACGCGAAGAAUUAUUGAGAAUUCACAUGGCCAUCCAUUAAAGAACCAAAAAAUUCUUUAAUUUGAUGAAUUCUCAUGAGCUGCUUGUUCUCAAGGCAAAUUAGUCAUUAGACCAUCACCAGCUAAAGUUGGGAUUGAAUCCCCAAGGUUUCUAGAACGUAUUCAAGGAGAUAUUUGUGGGCCUAUUUGUAAGACCCCAACUUUUAUGAAUAAAGAAUAAUUUUCUCGAAAUAUAUUUUUGAAUAUUAUGGUGUGAAUUUGAUAUAAUGUUAUAGUUGUGGGUAAUAUUUACAAAUUUUGCAAAGUAAGCAAGUGGUUAUAUAAUAUUCGAUUGAUUGGAGAAUAUUCGUUUUAACAGAGAAUAUUCGUACGAUGGCACAAUCAUUGGUGGACCCACAACGGAAGUAUUGUCGUAGCUAGAAAACGACAAAAAUAUCUUUCUAUAAAAAUAACGGCGGAGGUGUUACCGUUAAAACUGUUGAACUACCCGGUAGUAAAAGUACAGUAAUACGCGUGGUUGCAUAGUAGCACACGGUAUUGAUUAUUGAUACUUACGUGAGAAGUCACUCAGUUAUACUCAAUUAUUGCUACAGUAAUUGCUGCAUCAUAUCUCUNNNNNNNNNNNNNNNNNNNNNNNNNNNNNNNNNNNNNNNNNNNNNNNNNNNNNNNNNNNNNNNNNNNNNNNNNNNNNNNNNNNNNNNNNNNNNNNNNNNNNNNNNNNNNNNNNNNNNNNNNNNNNNNNNNNNNNNNNNNNNNNNNNNNNNNNNNNNNNNNNNNNNNNNNNNNNNNNNNNNNNNNNNNNNNNNNNNNNNNNNNNNNNNNNNNNNNNNNNNNNNNNNNNNNNNNNNNNNNNNNNNNNNNNNNNNNNNNNNNNNNNNNNNNNNNNNNNNNNNNNNNNNNNNNNNNNNNNNNNNNNNNNNNNNNNNNNNNNNNNNNNNNNNNNNNNNNNNNNNNNNNNNNNNNNNNNNNNNNNNNNNNNNNNNNNNNNNNAUUCCUUCAUUAUUUCUUACGAAUUCACUGAAACUCUAGAGAGAGAAACUAUAGAGAGAAAGAAGAAAAGUAUUUUGCUAAUUCACUACUCUAAUAUCCAGUUUCUUCUAAGGUAGGGGAUAUUAUUUUUUAUAUUCGUAAGGGGUAUUCUUUCUUUCUUAUUCAUGAAGAGAACUUCUGUUAUUCCAUUCUUUAUUAUUCUGUUGGAAUAACAUGUAUACGCGGGAUACUCUAUACUUGGUGAAAUUCUUCUGUUAUUCCAUUCUUAUUAUUCUGUUGGAAUAACCUGUUUAUGCGAAGUACCGCAUACAUGGUGAAAUUCUUUUAAUAUUCUGUUCUUUAUUAUUCUGUCGGAAUAUCCUAUCUGUGCGUUUACGCCGGACCUGGUUCCAUUAUUUAUUAUUCUGUCGGAAUAUCCUAUUUGUGCGUUUACGCCGGACCUGGUUUCAUUAUUUAUUAUUCUGUCGGAAUAUCCUGUCUGUUCGUUUACGCUGGACCUGGUUCCAUUAUUUAAUAUUCUGUUGGAAAUAACAUGUCUGUGCAGUCUAUCGCACGCAUAGUGAAUCCUUCUGUUAUUCCAUUCUUUAUUAUUCUGUUGGAAUAAUCUGUCUAUGUGGAUUACCACAUGCAUGGUGAAUGAUCCUUCGUAUUCAUUCCUUAUUAAAUUGUGGAAACGAUUUGUCUACGUGGAUUACCGCAUGGUGGGCGAAAAUCCAUUUGCAGUUUCAUAUAUUCUAUUAUACUCAGUUGGUUAAAGCUUUGGCUUCUAUACUCCAUGAAAUUAGUGGAAUAUACUUGAUAUUUGCGCUUCAUCCAGUAUCUUUUCAUGGAAACAUUCUCCUGAGCAUUCUUGAAUUUUACUCCACAAAGCAGUAUCAUGUUGACAAUUUGGACGUUAUUGAGUUCAGGAUAAAUUAACUUAUAAAUCUUUAAAAUUUAUUCAUGAACUUGUUUUAUUGAAUUGUCAUCAUCCUCAUGUUUAUAUUAUGUUAAAAGUCAUCUUUGGCUUACGUGCAUAGAUGGACUUGGUAUGAUUAUGACUAGGGAUUAUUCGGUAUAGUCAUGACCAUUGAUGAUUACAUGAAUAUCCUUGGCCGUGGAGUAGGGAUAAUUCGAUUUUAUUUAUUAAGCUGAGUCUCAGCGAUAAAGUUGAUGAAAAACUUUUUAAAUCAUAGAAGAUAAUAGAUUUUAUACUUUACUUGACUCUUCUAAUGGAUUGCUUGAUCCGCUAUAGUUAAACUUGUUGUCUAUUAUAUUAUUCUAUCAGUUUAACAUUAUUGAAGGCUAAUGAUAAUUUAUUCUGCAUUAUUUUAGUCAUAAUAUUUCUUACUGGGCUAGUUGAGUUCACCCUUUCUUUCACUAUUCUCUUCAGGAAAUGAGAACGUAGCUGGGACUAGUCGGGGAACAGAGUGAUGGUCCUAGAUGGUGCAUUAGUAGUCCUCCCUAUUCUGUGAAAUAGUGUGAUAAUAAAUGUAAUAAGGACUCCAUUGAGUGUGGAUAUUGUCUAGAUGACAAUAUUUGUAUUAAAACUCACAGCCUAUGUUUUGUCGUAUUUUACACGACUGUUGUAUAAUUAAGUUGUAUUUGUAUUUAGUACCUUGUAUCUGGCGACCCAAGAUGUGUGAUAUAUACAUGUUUUGGGGGCGUCAUACUAUUCACCCACCAAGUGGACCAUUUAGAUAUUUUAUGGAUUUAAUAGAUGCAUCUACAAGAUGGUCACAUGUGUGUUUAUUAUCAACUCGUAACCUGGCGUUUCCAAGAUUACUUGCUCAAAUUAUUAGAUUACGAGCACAAUUUCUGGAUCAUACAAUUAAGACUAUUCGUCUUGAUAAUGUUGGUGAAUUCACAUCCCAAACAUUUAAUGAUUAUUGCAUGUCACAUGGGAUAAAUAAUGAACAUAUUGUUGUCCAUGUUCAUACUCAGAAUGGUCUUGCUGAAUCAUUUAUUAAACUCCUUCAAUUAAUUGCAAGACCAUUGCUCACGAGAACAAAACUUCAUGUCUCUGUUUGUGGGCACACUAUUUUACAUGCAACAACACUUAUUCACAUUAGGCCAACAUCAUAUCACAAAUUCUCCCCAUUACAAUUGGUUUUUGGUAAUGAGCCAGAUAUUUCCCAUCUAAGAAUAUUUGGUUGUGCGGUAUAUGUUCCAAUUUAUCCUCCACAACGUACAAAGAUGGGUCCUCAAAGGAGGCUGGGAAUAUAUAUUGGGUUUGAGUCCUCAUCAAUAAUUAAAUAUGUUGAACCCUUAACAGGUGAUCCAUGCACGAUUUUUCGACUGUCAUUUUGAUGAGACUAUGUUCUCAGCAUUAGGGGGAGAAAUUAAACAGCUGGAUAAAGAUAUAACUUGGAAUGCAUUGUCAUUAUUGAAUUUUGAUCCUCUUACAAAACAAUGUGAACAAGAAGUUCAAAAGAUACUUCGUUUGCAAGAUAUAACAAAUCAACUACCGAAUGCAUUCACUAACUCAAAAGGGGUAACCAAAUCUCAUAUACCAGUUGUAAAUACUCCAGCUCUGAUUGAAGUCCCAAUAGAACAAUUUGCAAAAAUUAUAGCAAAUGAGUCUAAAGCACGCCAGAAGCGUGGUAGAUCAAUCGGUUCGAAAGACAAAAAUCCUCAGAAAAGAAAAGAAGUAAAUAAACUAGUAGGCAUUAUAAUUGAGGAGGAAAAUAUUCAUGAGGAUAUAGACAUAGCUAAUCAUAAAAUUCCAGAAGAGGUUCAGGUACUUGAAAACAAUAAAAAUGAUGAGAUCUCGAUAAGUUAUCUCAAUAAAGAAAAAUGGAACCAAAGUGAGAUAGUUGUUGACAACAGUUUUUCUAUAAUAUAUUGCUUGAUAUCAUUAAUGGAAAUGAGGAUUUUGAGCCUAAUUCUGUCGAAGAUUGUAGACACAGAAAUGAUUGGCCAAAAUGGAAAGAAGCAAUCCAGGCAGAAUUAAAUUCACUUGCAAAACGUGAAAUUUUUGGACUUAUAGUCCAAACACCCGAAGAUGUAAAGCCCGUUGGAUACAAAUGGGUCUUUGUGCGAAAAAGAAAUGAGAAAAAUAAAAUCGUAAGAUAUAAGGCACAACUUGUGGCACAAAGAUUUUCACAAAAACCUGGCAUUGAUUACGACUAAGAUAAACUCGAAGGAAAAUUACGUAUAAUUAACAAAAUUAUAGUCCAAGUAUCGAUUUCCUAUCCGUCAGAUUGAUGACAUGCAUGAUAGAUUGAGGGUUCAUCAACUUUUUUUAAAAAUUGACUUGCACAGUAGAUAUCACCGGAUUCAGAUUAUACCGAGAAAUGAAUGAAAAAUAGUGUUUAAGACAAAUGAGGGUUGUAUAAUACUCUUAGUAUUUUAUGGAGUUGAUGAAUCAAGUACUUAAGCCUUUUAUUGAUAAAUUUGUAGUGAUAUAUUUCGAUGUAAUUAUCCUGAUUUAUAGUACCAAUUUUCUGAUCAUUUGGAGAAUUUACGACAAGUUUUUUCUCACUGGAAAAAAUACAAAAAAUGACAAAAACAAAACAAAACAAAGACGUUCAAGCUCACGUAUACAGAGUGAGCCUCGAAGAUCAGACAUAAUCAAAUUCAUCAAAAUUAAAUAAUAUAUCCAUGGCCAUUAGCAAUUCAAAUCUGCUCUCUCAUACGAUGUCUCAUUUAAAAUCUCACCCUAUGUCUUAAUCCACAUAAUAUUUAUAUUCAGUUAAAAUAUGAUUAAAGAUUGCGUACGUGACAUUAAUAUAUGAGAAUAAGAUAGUGCACGAGACAUGAAUUGUGAGAAUAAAAUUCUGACUCCCAUUAGCUAGGUAUAUAUAUAUAUAUAUAUAUAUAUAUAUAUAUAUCAAGUGUGGAGGCCAACAAUAUUAAAAUGCUUGUUUACGGUAUAAGGGCAAGGACUGAUCAUUGUCGGUCGGGGCAGCAAGAAUUAGAGGUUCUUAUAUUUUGGCAUCAGUAGUGUCGCAGCAGGAAGUGAUUCUCCCGGAGCAGCAUGUGACGAAUGGAUGAGUUCGUGCUGUCACUGUUAUCGCUUAAAGGGCAAAAUCAAAAUUGAGUGACAACUUAAAAAGAAUUUUUUUACAAUUAUUACAGUUUCAUGCAUGCAUACAUAUUUAUAGUUAUGUGGUACUGAACACUACAAAUUAUUGUAUGGUGUCUAUCCAAACGUGGAUCGGCUCGUGGACUAGUUGUGGAAAACUGUCAUGUGAGGCAAUUAGAAUGGAAUUCAGAUUUUAUUUUCUUGUAUUAGCUAUGCAUGUGUCAUAUUUUGGCUGGUGUUGGGCACAUGUCAUGGAAUCAUUUCUGUUACAAACUUGGUUAGAAUGAGAGUGAUUAUGGCCUUAUAUACUGCAAUUGUUGCUGCUUAUGAAAAUGAAUGAAUGAAUUUACUUUUCUUAUUAUUUUCCUCAUCUUUUCUCACCUUUAUUUCUUCUCUUUAAUUUCUAGUUUAAUUUAUGUCAAGUUCAGAUUUGUUAUGUUAUCUCUAUCCAGAAGCGUACCACAUGAGUGCUCCAGUCCAAUCAAUUACUACGAUGAUGCUAUGAGAUUUUGGUGUCCAGAACAUGAUAAAAACCAAGUUAUCACAAGACAAAGUUGACCCUGUAAGAACUUGUUUCUUGCAUUUUUUUUGCUAAUUUGGUAACAGAAAAUAUAGUCAAAGGCUAUUUCAAUAGUAUCGUCUAAAAUGCCUAUACGAACUCAAUUCAUUAUUUCGGCAUUAAAAUGGAGAAUUAAAGGAAAUAGGUCUUGAGGAUUAAAAAAAACAAUCGCAUGUGUUGAUUUCUUUUUUGGAUAAACAAUAUUUCUUUUUUAUCCGCUCUUUGCAUUGAAAGAAUAGAUUAUAAAAAAAAUUAUAGGUUAUCACUAACAGGGAUACUGGGAGGUUUAGGGGAUUUGGCUUUGUGAGCUUCUCUGAUACUGAAUAUGUUCCUCGCACUGUCAACCAUUGAUGGACAGGUGAUGAUUAAAUGAUGUGGAAAAUCUUUAGUACAUAAUUUUCAUUGUUAUUCUCUUCUAAUGCUCUGAAUCCUACAUCAACUGAAUGGGCGAAACUGUUGAAUUUUUUUGCAAUACAAAUCCUAUUUAUCUAUUUAUUUAUUUAUAUUGGACAUUGAUUUAUUAAUAAAAGCACAUCAUUUAUCAUUUAUUAAAUGAUCAUUUAGUUUGUUUAUAUAUAUCUCAAUAUUAUAUAUGUAAUGGUUUAUGUGUAUUAAUAAAUGUUAUACACAAAAGAUAUAAAUCAUAUGUAAUAUAUAAAUAAAAAAAUAAUAGUUUAUAGCCUAGGAUAAUUCAGAGAUAUUAUCCUAUAGGUUAUAGUACUUUAACAAUGAUGAUUUAUCUUGAUAGUUGGACUUCUAAUUAAAGUACUAGUGCAUUAACAGUGUGCGUUAAACGGAUCAUGUGAUAAUAUUUUAUUUAUAAAAUAUUUUCACAUAAAUACUAAUUUGUAAAAUUUCUUAAUUUUGAAAUAAUAGUGGACUUAAUAUUGUUAUAUAUAUUAAUUUGAUGUUCCAAUGAGUGAGAUUACAUCGUGUUAAUUAAUACCUCGAAAUGUCGAUUAAUAUAUUUAAUUAAUAUUACGAACGUUAUUGUUGUCAAAACAUCUAUAAGAUUUUUCAUAAGAUAAUUUAUCAUUUAUCAUAGAAUCUUGGCCGAAUCUUUUAAUAUCUAUUAUUAAAAUGAUUGAUUUAAUUAUUAAAUUAAUUUAUGAUUAAAUAGACAUAAAUUAUGGGCUUAUGAAAUUAAUUUAAAUGUAUAGGAAUUAUAUUAAUUGAUUCUGAAAUAUUUAUGUGCAUUUAUAGAGGAAAUAUUUACAGUUUAUUAGUAAAGGGUUUAUUUAAUUAAUUCUUGGACUGAAGUGCAAUUAUAAUUAUUUAGUGAAAUUAAUUAAUAUUUAUUUUGAAUAAUAUUAUUAGAUAAUAAUAUUUAGAUAAAUAUUGGAGUCAGGAUUCAUAAGAGAUGGUAAGAAUCAAUGUUAUUAUAUAUAUCAUUGAUCAGAAACGUAUUGGGUGACUUUUUUAUUAGUACAAAAUACAAAAUAUAGGUAUUCUCACUUUCAGCCUAGGUAAAACAAAGUUAGAGUUUUUUCCGGAAGGGUGCUUUGGAGACCACACUCCAGGUUCAGUAUAAGGUCAUAGGAAAGAAGAUCUUGAGGAUACAAGAGAUUGUACAAAUAUUAAACGUGCUAAUCCAACCAAACACUAGGUAACAAAUUCGUUCUAUAGAUACAUAGUAUAUAUAUUUGUUGGUUCGUAUAAAACCAAAAAAAUGAUCCUCGUUUUUAUUUAAGUUUUUUAAAACCUAUUUUCCGGAAGAAAAAAAAUUCCUUCAAUUGGCAUCAGAGCAAUCUUUAUGCUUUUACAUGAAUAACAUGCAUAUAUAUAUAUAUAUAUAUAUAUAUAUAUAUAUAGUUGAUUUUCGAAAUUUGCUGCUUUAAGGUUUUAAUAAAGUAAUUUAUAUGUUUAUGUUAUAGAAUUAAAGUAUGCAUGAGAUGUAUUAAAGUAUAUUUUACGUUUCACAGUAGGAUAUAUUAUUGUUCUAACUUCUGUUUUGCAGAAUUGAUUGUAAUAUACUUUAAUGGCUAGCAUGAAUGUAUGUUUUAAUUAAAAAAAUCGUUGGUUUUGAUUUUUGGUUGUAAUACUCCUGCUGUGAGUAAUUUAAUUUUUAUGCAGUUUAGAUAGUAUGUAAACUCUUAAUGAGUAUAGGUUUCAUUGAUGUAAUUAUACAUAAAUCGGAUGUACACUUCUCAUGAAAUAUUUGACCUAUAUGUAAUCCACUGCACUCAUAAUAAGUAAGUUGUUGAAGAAGAUGGACAUGAAGUUUUUUCUUUUCAGAAUCAGAGAUUGACUUGGACUCGGUUUUUUCAGAAUCUGAGAUGGACAUAGAAUCAUGUAGAAUACAUCAUUUGAGUUCAAUAGGGAUGCUUUAUGAAAGUCCUGAUGGAUCUAGGAUUGUUAUUUGUCAUGAGAGUAUAUAUUGUUAUGUGGUUAUCUUGUUAUGUGAUUUUAUGUUUGUUAUUAAAACCUAGAUUAAAGAAGCAGAAAUGAAUUUUAGUUAAUUCAAAAUUUCAGAACACUAGCCCAAUAAGUGUUUCGAAAUUAAAUUUUGUAAAAUAUUUCUCAAAAUAUUUUCUGAAAUUGUACGGAUUGUGCGAUAUUUCUAAAAAAAAUGUGGCUGGAUGUAACGAACUUUUGAAUUAUCUAAUUUUCAAUCAUUAUUAAAUAUGAAUUUAUUUAUUUCAUGAGUUAUAUAUGAAUAAAUAAAAUAAUAAAAAUUCAAGUGGGUGAGGGAUGGGGGAUAAAAUCCCAUAGCCUCCAUUAUAUAUCUAUAGUUAUGAUAACUAGUAUCUUUCUUACGAAAAAUAUUAGUGAUCAAGAUAACAAGUAUAGAUUCCCUAAUAGGAUAUGAGUUUUUAAAACAAUAGUAUAAAUAUACUUUCCCUACGAAGAUAUAUUUUUAGUUAUGAAUAUUUUAUAAAUUCUAAUAUAAUGGUAUACACUUGAUAAAUAGAUUAAUAAUUUUUCCCUACGGAAAGGUAGUUUAUUAAUACUCUUGAAGGCUAAAAAAUAAUAUAAGUAUGUCAUUUUCUUUGAUAAAGAGUUAUCUAGAAAAAAAAUGGUAAUUUAAAAUAUUUAUUUUUCACUACGGAUAAACUUUAUUUAUAAAAAUUAAGAUACAUAUGUUAAAAAAAUAUGAUUGCUUCAUAUAUGCAUUAUUUUACUUGUUAAUGGUCAUAUGAAUGAUGGAUAUAUAUAUAUAUAUAUAUAUAUAUAUAUAUAUAUAUAUAUAUAUAUAUAUAUAUUUUUAGAUAUUAUGUAUGCGUUCAGCCCAAUCUCAAUAAUUCUAAAAGAAAACCAAUUGUCUCGGUCUAAUUAUGUUGAUUGGAAAAGGAAUUUGGACAUUGUUCUUAUUGCUCAGGAAUAUAAAUUUUUGCUUACUAAUCCUUGCCCUGAGGAUCCUAUAACUAAUGCUCCUCGUGCUUCUAAAGAAGCAUAUGCAAAAUAGAUAAGGCUGAUGAGAUGGCUAAAUAUUACAUCUUGGGAUCUUUAUCCAACAUUUUACAGUAUCAACAUAUGACUGUUCCAACUGCUAAGGCCGUGAUAGAAUCUUUGCAUGGUAUGUUUGGUGAACAUGCUCGUGCCGUAAGGUAGAGUAUUAUGAAAUCUCUCAUGGAAGAAAAAAUGGAUGAGGGAACUCCAGUGGGUGAGCAUUGUCUCGAAUUCAUAUCACACCUUUAGUGAACUGGAGGUCCUCGAAGAAAAUGUUGAUGUGGAAACACAGAUUGACAUGGGGCAAUUUAAUUAUACUCUUCCUGAGUUAAUGAAACAGCUUCAAUCGGCUCAAGGUAUUCUAGUACCUAAGCCAGUUGUCGAUGUAGCUGAGGCUAAUAUUUUUAAGGCUAAGGCUGGCAAGAAAAAGAAACCAAAAAAAGUAAAGAAUACAAAGAUUAAUUUCUGGCACUCGGGGAGUUGGAAAGAAACAAGGUCAAGGUGAGGUUAAGCCCAAAGGGAAGUGUUUUCACUGUGGUGAAAAGGGACACUGAAAGCUCAAUUGCUCGACAUUCCUUGAGAAAGUGAAAAAUAAAGGUAAAUUUCAAACUUUACUAGUUGAAUCAUGUUUGGUGGCGGUUUCUACGGGAUCCUGAUGCGUAGAUUCCGGAGCCACUAAGAGAGAAGCUGUACAUAAGAGAGAAACAAACUGAUUAUCUGACGGUCAGUCGUGCAAGAAAAUUCCUUUUUGGAGAUCUAUUAGAGAUGCAUGCAGCUAAGAUAUAUACCAAGGAGAUGUUCCGGCGUUUCCAGAUUGAACUGACAAAGUUGCACAAGUUAACUUCAAAGAAGGUGCAUGAGUUGUCAACUCCUGAUUCAAAAACCUACUUGGUGUUAAAAGUGAUGGAUCCUGAAUCUAGUCGUAGGUAUUUCACAGUUGUGAAAUAUAUCGAAAUCGGGAUGUCGAAAUGUAAUUGUAUACAGUUUGAACAUUUUGGUAAAAUAUGUUAUCACAUUCUCAGGCUUCUAAGUUCAAAGAACUUGGUUCAGAUACCUGAAGAUUUUAUACACAAGCGAUGCACUCAAGAUGCUAAUAAAACGAGCUGUGUGUCCCCGUAUGUUCUUAAUAAGUGAUAUUUUUACUCACUUAUUGUAUAUUAAUCCAUGCGAAGUGUGCCCACCUUGAGUAAAUUUCAUUGUGUUUUAGUCGCAUUUCACGUUAUUUUGCAUUUCAUAUACUUAAAACUCCUUUUAGUGAAUAAGUGCAGGAAUCAGCGUUAUUUUGGUGGAAAUUGAGGCAUCGGUGAGCGUAUGUGUGUAGGCUAGUGGAAAGGCGAGGAUGUGCACGGCAUGGGAGCAUAAUGAGGCAUGGAAAUCAAGCAAGCAAGAGGUUAAGGCAUGAGCAAACAAGUAGCAGCAGCAGCAAAGCAUAAACCAGACUCGGGAUUUGCAGGACACAGGCCGCGCGACAAUACAAAGGCAGGCUCGCGCGCCCACGCGAGUGCAGGGCUGGACAUAAGGAGCAUUCUGCAAGUCAAGCGCCUGCGAGGCAAGGACCGCGCGCCCGCGAGAGACCCAGCGCGCGCCCGCGAGGCAGGAGUGCGCGACCGCGCGUUAAGACGUCUGGAGGCACUGAGCAUACUGUAAGUCUCGCGGCCGCGAGACAGAUAUACUAGAGCCGCGCGCGGCCGCCCGCGAUGCUGAUGCUGUAAUUUGUUUUAUUUUUAAUUAAGCAAUUUGAUGAUGUGUAAUUGGUAUAAAACGAUUCUGACAUGUGUGAGAGAGGGGACUUGACAUUAUUUUACGUAUUUUCAUAUUAGAAUUAGGGUUAACACAGUGGUGGGAGAUCCCAACGGAGAACGAAGCCGCAACGUUUUAUUCUCUUCUUCUUCUUGGAGUUCUUAACCAUUGUGGAUUUUUAUUAUUAUUGAAUGGAAUUCUUUGGGGUUUUCAUAGUUAAUCAUUGAUUACUAUUCAGCGUUUGGGUUUGAUUGUUCUCUACCUCUUACUCUUAUUUGCUUGAUUAUUGAUCAUGUUUAGUCUUGAUCCCAUAAUGGCUUUUGGUUCCGCCAUGAACUAAACUCCAUUAUGGGAUUCUAACGGAUUUUAAUAUGUAGUUUGGUUACAUAUCUAAGUGUUAGAUUUGUUUUGCAUAUCAUUGGGUUAUCUAUCAUGGUUGGUUUGUAUGUAUGAAUGACUGAUAAUCUUCAUGUGUAUGGAACUGGAAAUGAACAUAUGAAUAUGGAUGAAAUCAUGAUAGCAUGCGAAUAUGGGGCUAGAGUAAGUCUUGGAUAUUUUGUGAAACAGAUAGGAAUAUACUGUUUUACCGUAUGAGCUAGAGUAAGGGUUGUGCUUAAAAUCAAUAGGAUUGCAAUUGCGCAUAGGAAUAUGGUAAUUGUGGUGUUAUUGGUGAUUACAUGGAUUCUAACAUCUGUAGAUGAUAUGUGAGUUGGUUAUAGUGCAUUGGAAAAUGGUUAUAACUCGCUUUUAAGCCCUUGGCUAUUAUCCUGUGAUAUGUAAACACUUCUUGCAUGACAUAUGGCGAUUGAAUGAAAUAUUGAAUGAAGUUAGGAUCCCAUUAUUUCCACAUCAUAUUUAAUUCAUUUAUAUUCUUAUUUGUAGUUGGUAAUUAUAAUUUAUUCAAAUCGACAAUUUAGUCUAAAGUCUCAGCAUAUAAAUAUAGUGAGUGAUUAAUGCAUAGUAGUCUAAGUUAACAACUUUCUCUGUGGGAUCGAUACUUUACUUACUCUGUAUUACUUGUUGACCCGUGUAUACUUGCAUGAGUUAGAGCUCUUUUAUAAGAACUAUAAAAGAGGCAACAGUUCUCCCCUCUGCAAUAGAUUAUGUUAACACACAAACUAGUCGGUUCAAUCAUAUACACAAACGAUUCGAUCUACUUGUGUGGGAUGCUUCAUCCUCUAAAGAAGCCACAUAUUAUGUUCUCCAAUUGCUAGAUCGUGAGCACAAAAUUAUUUGCGACUUCCCUGCAGAAGGUGUGAAAGUAAGACCGGACUAGAAUGUGCAACCUUUUUUUAUCAAUAAUGGGGAAAAUAUGGAAUUUCUCAAUGAUGUAUGAUGAUACAGCUGCUUCUAAUGAUCAUGUAUUUAAUCCAAUAUGUUCGUAGACAAAAGUUCAAAAAAAGCAACACGGAUGAAAAGUGUUGUCGAACUAUUAUCGGGUCAAAAACCACUUCAGAAGUGUGCAAUAUAUAUAGAUGCUUUACAAACCACGAUAAGCAAAACUAUUAUAAAGCUUUAGGGUUGAAAAAUGCCAGAAUCAACAUAAAUUCAUUUCUUUCGAUUUAUUAUGACAUUUUGAUACAAAUAAAGUGUUAUUGUUUGCUAAUCAGAAUUCUCUGUAUGUAUGUAACGCCUGGUAAUUGCAUGUCUCUAUCCUGUAAAUGCCACAAUAAGCAAAACUGUUAAACUCCGAACGGUUAAUAUCUUCACUGUGCGCCCACAGUAUUAAACUGCGGACGGAACCUUUCAUAAGUGUUGAUACUAUACGACGUACGUCGUUUAAAUUAAAGAUGUCUUUAUAUGAUAUCGUUUUAUAUACCUAGAGUCCGCGGUAAUAUAUUUAACAAAAUGUCAAAUUACAUGUUUCAGUAUACAUCCUUCGCAGUAUUAAAUUGCGGAUUGGGGAUUUAUACAAGAAUAGUUAAAUUUAAUUCUAUAGUCUUCCAUUAUUCUGGGGGUAUUAUUAUUACAGAUUAAUCAUCAUAUUUUGCGAUGUUGUAAAUAUUACCCAUGAACAAAUAGAAAACUUAAUAGCAUUAAAUCAAACUAUACUCAUCCCAAGAAUUAGUCGUUUUCCUUGUAGUGUGGUCCAGUUUGGACCAAUUUCCCAUUUUUGUUCAAAAACUAUUCAAAUUCGGCAAACUGGUGGUUGAACCGCUUGACCCAGCGAAUUGGUGACUAGUUCAUGAGUUGGAUCGGUUCCCUAUUUAUUUUAAAAAAAUAAUAGGGCUUCAUCCCUUCAAUCUUCAGCUCUGCACUUUCACUUCUUCUUUGUAGUGCCAAAAUUAAUCGUUAAUGUAUGGCCUACUCUAAUAAAUAACACAAAACUACUCACUUUCCAAACUGGUUAAAUCUACUUUUCUCCACUCUACUCGACCUCGGCUUACAAAUGCAUCACUGAACUGAAAUUUUUUACAAUCGACUCAUUGAACUACAAAUUAUUUUCAAAUCGUUACAAAAUUCGUUAUAUGAGUUGACUUUUAACGAAAAAUCCACGUCACUUUUAAAAUGAAAAUCCAUAUCAGCUAUUUCAUGUGAUAUUAUUCUAGUUGUUGCCACAUUGAAAAGUAAAUGAGUUUAAUAAUAAGUACAAAUUAAAAAUUAAAUUCAUAAAAAUAAAUUCAAACUUAAAAAAUAUAACUAAAAUUUUGAAAACUAAUUAAUAUUUAUAUUUUUGAAAAUUAAUAUAAUUGUUAUUUAUAUUAUGAAAUCAUUAAAUUUAAGCUUUAAAUAUAUAAGAAAGAAAUAUUAAAACACUUUAAAUAUCAAUUAUUAUUUUUUUAAAAUCCCAAACCAUUAGAUAUGAAAAGAGAAAGAUAACCCAAAAUUCUUUUGCAUAUGAGGCAAUCCGAAUUCGUUCACAUCAAGAAUCAAAACUCAAAAUUUGCACAGAUCAAAUCAUCAAACCCAAAAUUCAUUCCCAUCAAACCCAAAAUCCAAAAUAUGUUCAUAUCAAACCAUAAGAAGCCAAGAACAUUUUUGUUUAUUAGGAAUCUGUAAUCAAAACCUACUAUUUCAAACAUCUGUCCAUCUUCAAUCUCCAACCUCCAACCAUCAAUCUUCUAUUGCUCCACUAAAUUGAUGAGGAUAUCCUUCUAUUUUUCACGAAGUGCUCGCUGAUUGAUGAGCAUCUCCUUUUAUUGCUCAAUUAAAUUGAUGGCCAUCAAUCUUCUAUUCUUCACGAAGAUCUAGAAAAAAAAUCUAAAAAAACUCUUUAGAUUUCUUUGCAGGACUGCUAAAGGUCAUAAAAACUAUUUAUGACCAUCGCUACUGCCCAAUUCUCUUUAGUUGCUCUUUCAGAUGAUUUCUCGACGGAGGUGCCUGAGCUUCUUUCGCUGCCGACGGGUGAGAAUUAGAGAUCGAAUUAGGCUCGACGGAUUGAGUCCAUCGGUGACGGUUAUGGAUUCGUCGGAGAGGAAGAUGAUGAUGGAGGAGAUAUUGUGCACAGUAGAUCUGAAAAAAUAAACCCAGAUGAUAAGUAGGUGAAAUCAAAAACAAAAGCCAAAAUAAAAAAGAAGAAGAAUAGGAGGAAAUUAGAUUUUAGAUAAUUAGGUUUAAUUAUGUAAAUAUUAUUAGUUUUAACUUUAAAAAAUAUUAAAAAUAUAUUUUUUAAAAUAAAAAAAUUAACAAAUAUAUUUUUAAAUUUUCCAUGCCUUUUUAAAUAUUUCUUCUUGGUGAUAUUUAGGAUUUCUAAGAAAAAAACAGAGAGAUAAUAAUAAUAAUAAUAAUCCUUUAAUUUCAAAAUAUUAGAUAAUUUAUAUUUUUUAAGUGAACUUAAUAUAUUUAUAUAAAAAAUAUUAAUUCAUUAAUUUUAUAUAAAUACAGUUGUAAAAAUUAUACAUUAAUUUAUUUUAUUCUUAAUUCAUUUAAUUAAUAUAUUUUAUUAUUAAUUUAUUUAAUUAUUUGUUAUUAAAAAAAAGAGAAGAGUCUAAGCUUUAAAACGGAAUUGGUGCCAUGUAGACUUUCUAAGGUGGAUCUUAUUAUUAAUAUAUUUUUUUUCUAUGGUGGAUAUUGUAUUCCACGUAAUUGGUGCCAUGUAGACUUUUUGUUAAAUUUUUAACGGAAUAGACGGUUUUUAAAAUUUUUGUAAAAAAAAUACAGUUCACUGAGUUGACCGUAAAAUUUUUUAGUCCAGUGAUGCAUUUGUAAAUCGAGCUCGAGUAGAGUAGGGAAAAGUAGAUUUAACCCCUUUUCAAACGCAUUAUAUAUACAUACCCAAUAAACAUUAACAAUAUUUACAAAUAAUAAUCACAAAAUAAUAUCCAGAUCUGAAUCAAAACAGAAAAAUCAAAAAGGGAGAGAGAGAGAGAAGAUUUGUCACCGUCGAAAUAAUCGUUGAAGAAAUCCCAAAGUUUGAGAGCAAAAUUAAAAUCAAAAUCAAAAGGUAGCUUUCUAGAUCGGAGUCAUCAACCAUUUUAGAUCGAACUAAUCAACCGAUCAAAAGAAGUAUUCUCUGUGUAUUGCCGUUUUGGGGAGUAUGAUCUAUAGUUCUGUACUAUGUAAAACUAUUUUAAGUAGAAUAUGUCAAAAACAUAUUCCCUUACUAUAAUAUGAUAAAAGAAGGGCACUCACAACCGUUGUUGGAACUUUGAUGUUUUGACUAGAAUAUGCCAAAAACAUAUUCCCUUUUCAUUUGUAUUAUUUGAUUUAGUAUCUUUCUUUUCAUAUAUAUUCAUUUAGUAUUUAUUUGAAUUGUAUAAAGUAAACAUCGUACAAAUAUGUUUAGUUUUUUGAAUGUACAUAAAUUGAUUAAUUUUACAUAUUUACUAAAUAUUAUAUAUAAUACUCCCUCUGUCUCGUAAUAAAAGUCCUUAUUACUAUUUUGGGCAGUUUCAUGUUAAAUGUCAACUUUUCUUUCAUAACCAAACUUUACACAUUUUUUCCUAUUAUGCCUGUAGCAUUAAAUAUCUCAUACUUUUUUUAUUCUAAUUCUCUCUCCAUAUUUAAUGACAUUAUUAUGGACAAUUUUGUCAUUUUAUUCAUCUUCUUAAUAUGCGUGAAAAGUCCACCAGGACUUUUAUCGUGGGACGAAGGGAGUAUAUAAUAAGAGGCAGGUAAGUGUUUUAUUGGAAGGUGGAUAAAGAUUGUCCCACGCAUUACCAAUUUGUACGAUGCUUCCUUUGUGCAAAUUUGAAUGGUAUUAGCUAUGCAGACUAUUCUGUAGAUCACUUUGAGAAUGGAGUUGCAGUCCCUUUCACGGACAAUCUUAUUUGAGUAAUAAAGAAUUUUCACUUAACAUGAGCAGGUGGACAAAGAGGAGCAAGUAGAUCGAAUCCACCGGCACAAGGAAGCGGCAAAACUCUAAACAUUUAUGUUAGGUGGUGGGAGCUGAGCUGAUUGAAAUGAUACCAGAAGCUUGACGGCUUGAACCGUCGGGAGAUAGCUCCGGCGUAAGAGUUGGUACAGUCGAACACAAUGUUAACAAUAGAGGAUAAUAGCUCUAGUGUUUUGAUAGAUAAAUUAAUUAAUUUUACAUAUUUACUAAAUAUUAUAUAUAAUACUACUAUAUAAUAAGAGGCAGGUAAGUGUUUAAUUUGUUGAAAGGUGGAUAAAGAUUGUCCCACGCAUUACCAAAUAUAUACUACUAGUUACCUCCCUCUCUCUUCUGGCCGACCUUUCUUUCAUCUUCAAACUCCAAAAUCACAAUGAAGAUCAACGUAAGAGAGUCGACGAUGGUGGCGCCGGCACAGGAGACGCCGCAGCGGAGUCUGUGGAAUGCUAACUUGGACCUUGUGGCACCGGAUACCCAUGUCCCGACCGUAUACUUUUACCGGCCGAACCGGUCGUCCAAUUUCUUUGAGGCGAGAAUACUUAAGGAGGCGCUAAGCCGUGCCUUGGUUCCGUUUUACCCAAUGGCUGGGCGGUUAAAGAGAGGCGAAGACAGGCGCAUUGAGAUCAACUGUAACGGAGAAGGUGUUCCCUUCGUGGAGGCAGACUCGGAUGGAGUGGUUGAUGAGUUCGGCGACUUCGCCCCGACGUUGGAGCUCCGGAAACUCAUUCCGAUGGUUGAUUAUUCUCUUGGAAUCCAUGCCUAUCCUCUUUUAGUCUUGCAGGUGCGUGUGUUUCCACUACGCCAUAUAUAUAAAAAUACUACCAUAUUUUCUAUAUGCUUGGUUAUUUAUUCUUGUGUAAUUUUGUUGUUCAAGGAUUUGAGAAUUUCCGGUACGUGAGGUUAGUGUACUUUUAGGGUAAAAAAUGCGAGUCACACCACAAGUUCCAAUCAGUCCCAAAAUACUUGUACUACAUAAAAAUUUAUUUUAAAUUACAGGAGAAUUUGAAAAAAAUAUUAGUUCUGUAAUGCAUGAAUUUUGGACAGUGAUUAGGAAAUUAUCAAGGUACCGAACUAUCCAUAUGGGACUGGUUGGAACUGGUGAAGAGCUGAACAUAAGGGACACCGGUUAUGUCCGGUAGUACCUGCUAUUUGAAUUCAAAUUACNNNNNNNNNNNNNNNNNNNNNNNNNNNNNNNNNNNNNNNNNNNNNNNNNNNNNNNNNNNNNNNNNNNNNNNNNNNNNNNNNNNNNNNNNNNNNNNNNNNNNNNNNNNNNNNNNNNNNNNNNNNNNNNNNNNNNNNNNNNNNNNNNNNNNNNNNNNNNNNNNNNNNNNNNNNNNNNNNNNNNNNNNNNNNNNNNNNNNNNNNNNNNNNNNNNNNNNNNNNNNNNNNNNNNNNNNNNNNNNNNNNNNNNNNNNNNNNNNNNNNNNNNNNNNNNNNNNNNNNNNNNCAAUUACUGUAGCAAUAAUUGAGUAUAACUGAGUGACUUCUUACGUAAGCAUCAAUAAUCAAUAUCGUGUACUACUAUGCAACCACACGUAUUACUGUACUUUUACUAUCAGGUAGUUCAACCGUUUUAACGGUAACACUUUUGCCGUUAUUUUUAUAAAAAGAUAAUUCUGUCGUUUUCUAACUACGACAAUACUUCUGUUGUGGGGUCUACCAAAGAUUGUGCCGUCGUACGAAUAUUCCCUGUUAAAAUGAAUAUUCCCCGACCAAUCGAAUAUUAUAUAAUCACUUGCAUACUUUGCAAAAUUUAAGUGUUGUCUAUUUACUAUUUUGUAGUAGUGUAAAUAUUAAUCCUUGCAAGAUGUUAACAGCUGACCCGUGGUGUUCCAGUGGUCAUAUGACUAAGGUUUCAAAUUUGAGGUUGUGAGUUCAAACCAGCGAAGAGACAAAUUUGUCAGAUCUACCAUGUAGGCGCCACGUGUGACACAUCAUCAGGUCAACGCACAUGUGACGCUUUGGGGUUCAAAGUCCAAAUUUUCGAAUAAAAAGGGGCUCAGUUUGCGUUGACAGGAAGAAAGAGGCUCAAUACCCAAAAAUCACUAAAGUUCAGUGGUCGACUUUGCAUUUAACUCAUUUUUUAUGUGUAGAUAAAUUGAUUAAUUUUACAUAUUUACUAAAUAUUAUAUAUAAUAUAUAAUAAGAGGCAGGUAAUUGUUUUAUUGAAAGGUGGAUAAAGAUUAAUUGUCCCACACAUUACCAAUUUGUACGAUGCUUCCUUUGUGCAAAUUUGAAUGGUAGCUAUGCAGACUAUUCUGUAGAUCACUUUGACAAUGGAGUUGCAGUCCCUUUCACGGACAUAUUUGAGUAAUAAAGAAUUUUCACUUAACAUGAGCAGGUGGACAAAGAGCAAGUAGAUCGAGUCCACCGGCACAAGGAAACGGCAAAACUCUACUUGAUGUCCCCAAUUUUUCUAUGUUAGGUGGUGGGAGCUGAGCUGAUUGAAAUGAUCUUCCGAGAAUAUCUCAGUUACGCUAAACAUUUAUGUUUGCCAAUGUAUGUAUGUAGUUUGGACUUUGAAACUGCAUGUUUUGUAUGAAUUCAUGCAGUUUUGCAGUUUACAGCAAUCUCUCUGCGAAUUAGUUGUGUUGAUAAAAGAAGGGGACUCGCAACCGUAUUUGGAACUUGGAUGUUUAGACUAGAAUAUGUCAAAAUCAUAUUCCCUUUAUGUUCAUUUGUAUUAUUUGAUUUAGUAUUUUUUUUUUCAUAUAUAUUUAGUAUUUAUUUGAAUUAUAUAAAAUAAACAUCGUACAAUAAAUUUAAUUUUUUGUAUGUAAAUAAAUUGAUUAAUUUUACAUAUUUACUAAAUAUAUAAUAUAUAAUAAGAGGCAGGUAAGUGUUUUAUUGAAAGGUGGAUAAAGAUUGUUCCACACGUUACCAAAUACUACUAGUUACUUCCCUCUCUCUUCUGGCCGACCUUUCUUUCAUCUUCAAACUCCAACAUCACAAUGAAGAUCAACGUAAGAGAGUCGACGAUGGUGGCGCGGCACAGGAGACGCCGCAGCGGAGUCUGUGGAAUACUAACUUGGACCUUGUGGCACCGGAUACCCAUGUCCCGACCGUAUACUUUUACCGGCCGAACGGGUCGUCCAAUUUCUUUGAGGCCAAAAUACUUAAGGAGGCGCUAAGCAGUGCCUUGGUUCCGUUUUAUCCAAUGGCUGGGCGGUUGAAGAGGGGCGAAGACAGGCGCAUUGAGAUCAAUUGUAACGGAGAAGGUGUUCUCUUCGUGGAGGCAGACUCGGAUGGAGUGGUUGAUGAGUUCGGCGACUUCGCCCCGACGUUGGAGCUCCGGAAACUCAUUCCGAUGGUUGAUUAUUCUCUUGGAAUCCAUGCCUAUCCUCUUUUAAUCCUGCAGGUGCAUGCGUGUGUUUCCACUACGCCAUAUAUAUAAAAAUACUACCAUAUUUUCUAUAUGCUUGGUUAUUUAUUCUUGUGUAAUUUUGUUGUUCAAGGAUUUGAGAAUUUCCGGUGAGGUUAGUGUAGUUUUAGGGUAAAAAAUGCGAGUCACACCACAAGUUCCAAUCGGUCCCAAAAUACUUGUACUACAUAAAAAUUUAUUUAAAAAAAAUUACAGAAGAAUUUGAAAAAAAUAUUAGUUUGGUAAUGCAUGAAUUUUGGACAUCAAGGUACCGAGCUAUCCAUAUGGGACUGGUUGGAACUGGUGAAGAGCUGAACAUAAGGGACACCGGUUAUGUCCGGUAGUACCUGCUAUUUGAAUUCAAAUUACUUGGUAGAUAUAAUGUUUAGCUCUUGCUUUCUUUACUUUCAUUAAUUACCUUAUAUUGCUACAUAGAGUUUUUUCUUUUUUCCUUUUUUUUAAGAAUAAAGUUAUAAUUUUUUUUGUUGCAAGUAAUUAAUUAACUUCCCUCCAAUUGAGCAGAUUACAUACUUCAAAUGUGGUGGAGUCUCGCUGGGUGUUGGUAUGAAACAUCAUGUUGCAGAUGGAGCAUCUGGCCUCCACUUUAUAAACACAUGGUCCGAUAUGGCUCGUGGCCUUGACCUCAAAAUUCCGCCUUUCAUUGACCGCACCCUACUCCGAGCCCGUGACCCUCCCCAACCUGUCUUCCACCACAUUGAAUACCAGCCUCCUCCUUCCAUGAAAUCCACUCCUGAAACCACACUUCCCGAAACAGCCGUAUCCAUUUUCAAAUUAACAAGGGAGCAACUCAACUCCCUUAAAGCAAAGUCCAAGGAAGACGGAAACACCAUUGCUUAUAGCACCUAUGAAAUUCUGGCAGGACAUGUAUGGCGGUGCACGUGCAAAGCCUUUGGGCUUCCGGAUGACCAAGAAAGCAAGCUGUACAUUGACACCGACGGACGAGCCAGACUCCGGCCCUCCCUUCCGCCUGGUUACUUCGGCAAUGUGAUAUUGGAGGCAACUCCAAUUGCACUAGCAGGUGAUCUCCGAUCAAAGCCCGUAUGGUAUGGUGCCAGUAGGAUUCAUGAUGCGAUACUGCGAAUGGACA
This 30510-nucleotide long non-coding RNA is filed under the name Panax ginseng (ginseng). Its description in RNAcentral is "long non-coding RNA (PGIN_LNC002168)". The record is from RNAcentral. Lineage: Eukaryota; Viridiplantae; Streptophyta; Magnoliopsida; Apiales; Araliaceae.